RNAcentral lists this ribosomal RNA (353 nucleotides) under uncultured bacterium. RNAcentral describes it as "bacterial SSU rRNA". It matches the Rfam family "Bacterial small subunit ribosomal RNA", at positions 30 to 384 of the family's 1533-position model. The record is from RNAcentral.
AUUGAACGCUGGCGGCAUGCCUUACACAUGCAAGUCGAACGGCAGCACGGGAGCAAUCCUGGUGGCGAGUGGCGAACGGGUGAGUAAUAUAUCGGAACGUGCCCAGUCGUGGGGAUAACGUAGCGAAAGCUACGCUAAUACCGCAUACGAUCUACGGAUGAAAGCGGGGGAUCGCAAGACCUCGCGCGAUUGGAGCGGCCGAUAUCAGAUUAGGUAGUUGGUGAGGUAAAGGCUCACCAAGCCGACGAUCUGUAGCUGGUCUGAGAGGACGACCAGCCACACUGGGACUGAGACACGGCCCAGACUCCUACGGGAGGCAGCAGUGAGGAAUAUUGGACAAUGGGCGCAAGCCU